AAUGAACGCUGGCGGCGUGCCUAACACAUGCAAGUCGAGCGAAUGGAUUAAGAGCUUGCUCUUAUGAAGUUAGCGGCGGACGGGUGAGUAACACGUGGGUAACCUGCCCAUAAGACUGGGAUAACUCCGGGAAACCGGGGCUAAUACCGGAUAACAUUUUGAACCGCAUGGUUCGAAAUUGAAAGGCGGCUUCGGCUGUCACUUAUGGAUGGACCCGCGUCGCAUUAGCUAGUUGGUGAGGUAACGGCUCACCAAGGCAACGAUGCGUAGCCGACCUGAGAGGGUGAUCGACCACACUGGGACGGAGACACGGCCCAGACUCCUACGGGAGGCAGCAGUAGGGAAUCUUCCGCAAUGGACGAAAGUCUGACGGAGCAACGCCGCGUGAGUGAUGAAGGCUUUCGGGUCGUAAAACUCUGUUGUUAGGGAAGAACAAGUGCUAGUUGAAUAAGCUGACACCUUGACGGUACCUAACCAGAAAGCCACGGCUAACUACGUGCCAGCAGCCGCCGUAA
This 515-nucleotide ribosomal RNA is filed under the name uncultured bacterium. RNAcentral describes it as "partial 16S ribosomal RNA". It matches the Rfam family "Bacterial small subunit ribosomal RNA", at positions 29 to 523 of the family's 1533-position model. The record is from RNAcentral.